This 1571-nucleotide ribosomal RNA is filed under the name Golunda ellioti (Indian bush rat). Its description in RNAcentral is "16S ribosomal RNA". It matches the Rfam family "Bacterial large subunit ribosomal RNA", at positions 384 to 2925 of the family's 2925-position model. Lineage: Eukaryota; Metazoa; Chordata; Mammalia; Rodentia; Muridae. The record is from RNAcentral.
ACUAAUUCUAGCCCUACUAUCAUUCCAAUUAAUUAUUUCAAUCACUAAAUCAAAACAUUUACCCCAAUAAAAGUAUUGGAGAAAGAAAUUAUACUAAGGCGCUAUAGAACAAGUACCGCAAGGGAAAGAUGAAAGACAAAUUAAAAGUAUAAAUAAGCAAAGAUUAAACCUUGUACCUUUUGCAUAAUGAAUUAACUAGAAGUAUUCUAACUAAAAGAAUUGCAGCUAGAAACCCCGAAACCAAACGAGCUACCUAAAAACAAUUUUACGAAUCAACCCGUCUAUGUAGCAAAAUAGUGGGAAGAUUUUUAGGUAGAGGUGAAAAGCCUAACGAGCUUGGUGAUAGCUGGUUACCCAGAAAAUGAAUUUUAGUUCAACUUUAAAUUUACUAUAUGAACAUAAAACCUAAAUGUAAAUUUAAAUUAUAGCCUAAAGAGGGACAGCUCUUUAGGAACGGAAAAAACCUUAAUUAGCGAAUAAAAUUACAUCAUAUCUAACCAUUGUUGGCCUAAAAGCAGCCACCAAUAAAGAAAGCGUUCAAGCUCAACAUAGAUACUCCAUUAAUUUUACAAUUUUCAAUGAAUUCCCAUAUGACAAACUGGGUCAAUCUAUCAUUAUAUAGAUGAGAUACUGUUAAUAUGAGUAACAAGAAUUAGAAUUCUCUAGGCACAAGUGUAUAACAACACGGAUACCCAUUGUUAUUUAUAGGUAAUUAGACAAAAAUCCCCAAACUAAUACAUCUAAGAUUCAACCGUUAACCCAACACAGGAGUGCUUUACAGAAAGAUUAAAAAGAAUGAAAGGAACUCGGCAAACACGAACCCCGCCUGUUUACCAAAAACAUCACCUCUAGCAUUACAAGUAUUAGAGGCAUUGCCUGCCCAGUGACUAAAGUUUAACGGCCGCGGUAUCCUGACCGUGCAAAGGUAGCAUAAUCACUUGUUCCUUAAUUAGGGACUAGCAUGAAUGGCCAAACGAGGGUUCAACUGUCUCUCAUUCUCAAUCAGUGAAAUUGACCUUCCAGUGAAGAGGCUGGAAUACCACAAUAAGACGAGAAGACCCUAUGGAGCUUUAAUUAACCAGCUUACUUUAUAACCACAAUAAACCUAAUGGAUCAAAAAGCAAAAUAUAAGCUGAAAAUUUCGGUUGGGGUGACCUCGGAGAACAUAAAAUCCUCCGAAUGAUUGUAACAUAGACUAACAAGUCAAAGUAAUACAAAAAUCUUAUUGACCCAAAAAUUCUUUGAUCAACGGACCAAGUUACCCUAGGGAUAACAGCGCAAUCCUAUUUAAGAGUCCAUAUCGAAAAUUAGGGUUUACGACCUCGAUGUUGGAUCAGGACAUCCCAAUGGUGCAGAAGCUAUUAAUGGUUCGUUUGUUCAACGAUUAAAGUCCUACGUGAUCUGAGUUCAGACCGGAGCAAUCCAGGUCGGUUUCUAUCUAUUUACAAUUUCUCCCAGUACGAAAGGACAAGAGAAAUAGAGCCUCCUUCCUAUUAAGCGCUCUCAACUUAAUUUAUGAAUUAAAUCUCAAUUAAAUAAAAAUGUACAACAUCCUUCACCUAGACAAGGUU